This 218-nucleotide ribosomal RNA is filed under the name uncultured bacterium. RNAcentral's name for it is "partial 16S ribosomal RNA". It matches the Rfam family "Bacterial small subunit ribosomal RNA", at positions 116 to 334 of the family's 1533-position model. The record is from RNAcentral.
CGUGGGUAACCUGCCUCAUACAGGGGGAUAGCAGCUGGAAACGGCUGAUAAAACCGCAUAAGCGCACAGCAUCGCAUGAUGCAGUGUGAAAAACUCCGGUGGUAUGAGAUGGACCCGCGUCUGAUUAGCUGGUUGGUGAGGUAACGGCCCACCAAGGCGACGAUCAGUAGCCGGCCUGAGAGGGUGACCGGCCACAUUGGGACUGAGACACGGCCCAG